Molecule: ribosomal RNA, 480 nt
Filed under: uncultured Fluviicola sp.
Lineage: Bacteria; Pseudomonadati; Bacteroidota; Flavobacteriia; Flavobacteriales; Crocinitomicaceae
Description: bacterial SSU rRNA
Rfam family: Bacterial small subunit ribosomal RNA
Source: RNAcentral
CGCACGGGUGCGUAACGCGUAUGCAACCUACCUUGUACUGGGGGAUAGCCCGGAGAAAUUCGGAUUAAGACCCCAUGGUAUUAUUUUAAUGCAUGUUAGGAUAAUUAAAGGUUACGGUACAAGAUGGGCAUGCGUCCUAUUAGCUAGUUGGAGAGGUAACGGCUCACCAAGGCUACGAUAGGUAGGGGGCCUGAGAGGGUGGUCCCCCACACUGGUACUGAGACACGGACCAGACUCCUACGGGAGGCAGCAGUGAGGAAUAUUGGUCAAUGGGCGCAAGCCUGAACCAGCCAUGCCGCGUGCAGGAAGAAUGCCUUAUGGGUUGUAAACUGCUUUUAUUUGGGAAUAAACCCCUGGUCGAGCAUCAGGGCUGAAGGUACUAAAUGAAUAAGCACCGGCUAACUCCGUGCCAGCAGCCGCGGUAAUACGGAGGGUGCAAGCGUUAUCCGGAAUCAUUGGGUUUAAAGGGUCCGCACGCGG